UACGGGGGGGGCAAGCGUUGUUCGGAAUUACUGGGCGUAAAGGGUUUGUAGGUGGCCGGCUAAGUCAGACGUGAAAUCCCUCAGCUUAACUGGGGAACUGCGUCUGGGACUGGUCGGCUUGAGGGCCGGAGAGGAACGCGGAAUUCCAGGUGUAGCGGUGAAAUGCGUAGAUAUCAGGAGGAACACCGAUUGCGAAGGCAGCUCGCUGGGACGUUACUGACGCUGAGACGCGAAAGCGUGGGGAGCAAACAGG
RNAcentral lists this ribosomal RNA (253 nucleotides) under uncultured bacterium. RNAcentral's name for it is "partial 16S ribosomal RNA". It matches the Rfam family "Bacterial small subunit ribosomal RNA", at positions 524 to 776 of the family's 1533-position model. The record is from RNAcentral.